Molecule: long non-coding RNA, 859 nt
Organism: Malania oleifera
Lineage: Eukaryota; Viridiplantae; Streptophyta; Magnoliopsida; Santalales; Ximeniaceae
Exons: 2
Source: RefSeq, a predicted model, not a curated record
AUCCGAAAUUAAAGACCGAAAUUUAUUUUUCUAACAGAGUGUUUAAGAGAAAUUUGAAUGAUCCGGAAAGGGACUACUAGAAAUCAAAGCACACAUAAGGUGAUUAAUGAAUCGCUAGGGUUACAGGGAGAUCCCGAUAUUGGGUGAGAAAAUUUAGGGUUUCAAAUGGGUUCGCGUGUUUUGAUCUCAAGGGCUAGCAGAAUCAAGGAAAAACUGCAAUUUGCAUUGGAAGCCAGCGUUUUGGAAGUGGAAGACGUGUCAUACCAGCAUGCAGGUCAUGCUGCAGUUAAGGACAACGCGAGCGAAACCCAUUUCAAUGUCAAGAUUGUGUCACAGAAAUUUGACGGGCAGAGUUACGUAAGCCGCCAUCGAAUGGUGUAUGAUGUUUUAAAAGAUGAGCUUCAAUCUGGUUUACAUGCGCUGUCUAUUGCGGCAAAGACUCCGCGAGAAGUUGGGAAACAUUGAUUCCUUCAUGAACAGUUGAACUCAAGCUUUAGGGGAGAGGCCAUAAUACAUGCUUACUCAGGAUGAUGUUUGUGAGAGUGCUUCAGAGUUAAGUGUCGUAUUUGCUGUCAAACUCUCCAGAGUCGAGUUCUUUUCAGCCAGGAGAGUAUGAUGGAGGACCUCCACCCCCACUUAGGCCAUCUAUUAGGUACACAGAUCUUAAGCAUAGGCUUAGGAAAAUAAAAUUUAUGUAUUAAAUCCACAACUCUGUUGGUUGUAAAUUUUUUUUGUAUUUUUUUUUUAUAAUUUAGAGGUUGAUUUGUAACUAUGUGUUGUUAAUUGUAGGAUGUUUAAAUAUUUUGUUGUUGUGUUGACAAACUUUCAUUAGCAUUUUGAAUCAAAUCAGAAUUUCCCA